RNAcentral lists this non-coding RNA (90 nucleotides) under Natronincola peptidivorans. Its description in RNAcentral is "Natronincola peptidovorans c-di-GMP-I riboswitch aptamer". It matches the Rfam family "c-di-GMP-I riboswitch aptamer". From Rfam's summary of the family: GEMM was predicted in a large-scale screen for bacterial structured RNA regulatory elements. The record is from Rfam by way of RNAcentral. Lineage: Bacteria; Bacillati; Bacillota; Clostridia; Peptostreptococcales; Natronincolaceae.
UAGUGAUAAAGGCAAACUUACUGAAAGGUAAGGACGCAAAGCUGUGGGUCUAAGGGAACAAUGCAUUCCUAUGAUUGUCAGGCUGCCAAA